UAUACAGAUUAAAGAGCUUGCCGAGUCGG
RNAcentral lists this non-coding RNA (29 nucleotides) under Mus musculus (house mouse). Lineage: Eukaryota; Metazoa; Chordata; Mammalia; Rodentia; Muridae. The record is from RNAcentral.